Molecule: ribosomal RNA, 330 nt
Filed under: uncultured eukaryote
Lineage: Eukaryota
Description: partial 18S ribosomal RNA
Rfam family: Eukaryotic small subunit ribosomal RNA
Source: RNAcentral
CCCUUAGAUGUUCUGGGCCGCACGCGCGCUACACUGAUGCAUUCAACGAGUUUCUUCCUGGUCCGAGAGGAAUGGGUAACCUUUUGAAAGUGCAUCGUGAUAGGGAUAGACUAUUGCAAUUAUUGGUCUUCAACGAGGAAUUCCUAGUAGACGUAGUUCAUCAGACUGCAUCGAUUACGUCCCUGCCCUUUGUACACACCGCCCGUCGCUACUACCGAUUGAAUGGUUUAGUGAGGACUCCUGAUUGGCGCCGCCGCCCCGGCAACGGAGCAGCGGACUGCCGAAAAGUUGUUCAAACUUGAUCAUUUAGAGGAAGUAAAAGUCGUAACA